Macrostomum lignano is the source of this 70-nucleotide non-coding RNA. Lineage: Eukaryota; Metazoa; Platyhelminthes; Macrostomidae. The record is from Rfam.
GGGGCUGUGGCCUAGUGGUUAGAGCGUCGGACUCGUGACCGGAAGGUCGGGAGUUCGAUUCCCGGUCCCA